Non-coding RNA from Ictidomys tridecemlineatus (thirteen-lined ground squirrel), 69 nucleotides. Lineage: Eukaryota; Metazoa; Chordata; Mammalia; Rodentia; Sciuridae. The record is from Rfam.
GGGGAUGUGGCUCAAGUGGUAGUGCGCCCGCUUGGCAUGCGUGCAGCCUGAGUUCGAUCCUCAGCACCA